This 665-nucleotide small RNA is filed under the name Pongo abelii (Sumatran orangutan). RNAcentral describes it as "retained intron". Lineage: Eukaryota; Metazoa; Chordata; Mammalia; Primates; Hominidae. The record is from RNAcentral.
AAAAGAAGGGCUGAACUGUUGGAAGGAAUGCUGUUAGCCUGAGACUCAGGAAGACAACUUCUGCAGGGUCACUCCCUGGCUUCUGGAGGAGAGAGAAGGAGGGCAGUGCUCCAGUGGUACAGAAGUGAGACACAAUGGAAUCAGGCUUCACCUCCAAGGACACCUAUCUAAGCCAUUUUAACCCUCGGGAUUACCUAGAAAAAUAUUACAAGUUUGGUUCUAGGCACUCUGCAGAAAGCCAGAUUCUUAAGCACCUUCUGAAAAAUCUUUUCAAGAUAUUCUGCCUAGAUGGUGUGAAGGGAGACCUGCUGAUUGACAUCGGCUCUGGCCCCACUAUCUAUCAGCUCCUCUCUGCUUGUGAAUCCUUUAAGGAGAUCGUCGUCACUGACUACUCAGACCGGAACCUGCAGGAGCUGGAGAAGUGGCUGAGGAAAGAGCCAGAGGCCUUUGACUGGUCCCCAGUGGUGACCUAUGUGUGUGAUCUUGAAGGGAACAGGUAGAGAAACUGGUGUCUACUUCUUGGCUUUUGAAGGUAUCUGAGUGAUGGUUGGCAAAAGCGACAGACAGAUAGGGACCAAAGAGAAAUCCAAAUGGAGAAUGAGUGGUAACGAGAGAGCGAGAGCAAGACAGAUGAGAUAGGCCCAUGUGUGUGCGUGUUUGUAAAU